Molecule: ribosomal RNA, 468 nt
Filed under: uncultured bacterium
Lineage: Bacteria
Description: partial 16S ribosomal RNA
Rfam family: Bacterial small subunit ribosomal RNA
Source: RNAcentral
GACGAACGCUGGCGGCGUGCUUAACACAUGCCAGUCGAACGGAAAGGCCCUGCUUUUGUGGAGUGCUCGAGUGGCGAACGGGUGAGUAACACGUGAGUAACCUGCCCUUGACUUUGGGAUAACUUCAGGAAACUGGGGCUAAUACCGGAUAGGAGCUCCUGCUGCAUGGUGGGGGUUGGAAAGUUUCGGCGGUUGGGGAUGGACUCGCGGCUUAUCAGCUUGUUGGUGGGGUAGUGGCUUACCAAGGCUUUGACGGGUAGCCGGCCUGGGAGGGUGACCGGCCACAUUGGGACUGAGAUACGGCCCAGACUCCUACGGGAGGCAGCAGUGGGGAAUAUUGCACAAUGGGCGGAAGCCUGAUGCAGCAACGCCGCGUGCGGGAUGACGGCCUUCGGGUUGUAAACCGCUUUCGCCUGUGACGAAGCGUGAGUGACGGUAAUGGGUAAAGAAGCACCGGCUAACUACGUG